This 402-nucleotide ribosomal RNA is filed under the name uncultured bacterium. Its description in RNAcentral is "bacterial SSU rRNA". It matches the Rfam family "Bacterial small subunit ribosomal RNA", at positions 355 to 774 of the family's 1533-position model. The record is from RNAcentral.
UGGGGAAUAUUGGACAAUGGGGGCAACCCUGAUCCAGCAAUGCCGCGUGAGUGAAGAAGGCCUUCGGGUUGUAAAGCUCUUUUAUCAGGGACGAUAAUGACGGUAUCUGAGGAAUAAGCUCCGGCUAACUUCGUGCCAGCAGCCGCGGUAAUACGAAGGGAGCUAGCGUUGUUCGGAAUUACUGGGCGUAAAGGGCGCGUAGGCGGUAAGAUAAGUCAGAUGUGUAAGCCUUGGGCUUAACCUGAGAACUGCAUUUGAUACUGUCUAACUAGAGGACGAGAGAAGAAAGUGGGAUUACGAGUGUAGUGGUGAAAGUCGUAGUUAUUCGUAAGACCGCCAGUGGAGAAGGCCACUUUCUGGCUCAUUUCUGACGCUAAGGCGCGAAGGCGUGGGGAGCAAGCA